Molecule: ribosomal RNA, 422 nt
Filed under: uncultured Sphingobacteriales bacterium
Lineage: Bacteria; Pseudomonadati; Bacteroidota; Sphingobacteriia; Sphingobacteriales
Description: bacterial SSU rRNA
Rfam family: Bacterial small subunit ribosomal RNA
Source: RNAcentral
AGUAAGGAAUAUUGGACAAUGGGCGCAAGCCUGAUCCAGCCAUGCCGCGUGAAGGAUGAAGGCCCUAUGGGUCGUAAACUUCUUUUAUACGGGACAAAACCCCCCGACGUGUCGGGGGUUGAUGGUACUGUAAGAAUAAGGGUCGGCUAACUUCGUGCCAGCAGCCGCGGUAAUACGAAGGACCCAAGCGUUAUCCGGAUUUAUUGGGUUUAAAGGGUGCGUAGGCGGAUUAGUAAGUCAGUGGUGAAAGCCCAUCGCUCAACGGUGGAACUGCCAUUGAUACUGCUAGUCUUGAGUAUGGUUGAGGUGGGCGGAAUGUGUCAUGUAGCGGUGAAAUGCUUAGAUAUGACACAGAACACCAAUUGCGAAGGCAGCUCGCUAAGCCAUAACUGACGCUGAGGCACGAAAGCGUGGGGAGCAAA